This 1576-nucleotide long non-coding RNA is filed under the name Felis catus (domestic cat). RNAcentral's name for it is "lncRNA (ENSFCAG00000053263.1)". Lineage: Eukaryota; Metazoa; Chordata; Mammalia; Carnivora; Felidae. The record is from RNAcentral.
AUGGAAAUGUUCCUAAAACUUUUCACUUCACAGCUGCUUUUACUUUUCAAGUCCGUGCUUAAAAUAGCCUGGAGCCUUUUCCGAGGCGGCCUGGCCUCUUCUUUGCCUCUUCAGACAGCUUCCUCUGCACACGCGGUAGCUGCCGGAAGGGGUUCCAGCCCACCUGGUCUCACAGCUUGCUGCCCUCGGCCCCCGAGCGUGGGCAGCAAAGCCCCCUGGGACCUGCACGGUCUGCGGAAGGAGCGGACGAGGGGAGAGGGGUCCUCGAGGGGCAGCGGGCCCGGCACCUCCAGGACCCCCGAGGGCCCCCAGCCGGCAGUGCAGGGGUGGUCCCGUGCUGGCUCCGUUCCUGUUCGGGAAACUGGCCACGAGAAGGAGGUGGGUGUCCCAGAGUCAGCGGGGCAUCCUUGCCGCGGCCCUGGGAGGAGCCCGGUGGACUCUGAGGGACAGACGGGCCAAGAGGCAGGUCUGUGUCCCUCUGUCUCCUGGGUCAGCGGGAGAAGAGUCCUGUGUGUGGCUGCGGUGUCAGGAGUUAGGACUCUUUCCCAAGAGGACAAGGGCUCGGGCUCGCCCUAGGAGAGAUGGGGACAGUCACAGGAACCGCUGUCUGUGGUCUGCAGCCUGGGUGAGGAACCAGGCUGAGAAAGUCUUGCCAAAGGAACAGCCGUUUACCUGGAACCGGGACCACGGGCUUUCUCUGACUCGUGCGUGUGUUUAGAAGCGUGGCCGCCCGCGUAUUCCCGCGGGUUCAGCCUCUGAGCUCUGGGGGGACCCCGCUCCAGCCCCAGCCGGCCCUGCCACGUGCCUCCCCAGUCUGCCCCAGGCCGAGUCUGUGCCUUCCCCCCUGCAGGCCUGGCCUCCUCUCCCGCGUCCUUGCCAAGGCACUGCCGGCCGUGGGUGUCCAGAUGGAGGAAGCAGGGGUGCUGGGAGGCCAGGUCAGGGAGCAGGUGCGGGGCGUGCCCGCUCUGGGGCGGCUCGGCCGCAGAGAGAAGCGGGCCGGGAGGUUGCGAGCACCAGGACGGGGGCGGGGGCGUGGUUCGUUAUUCCCCAGAAUUCCAGGGACUCCUGUCUGGUUUGUUUCCCGGCCUUCGGCUGGAAGGGGCCGAAUCUGCAGUUGCUAAGCCGACUUUGAGUUCUGAAUGGAUCUUUUAACGAACGCAAACAUGGCAGGAGCCGUUCCCAGAGCCACUUUGAGGUCGGAGGGUGGGGUCCCGGCCGCAGAGUGGGCAACGGGACCACCUGUGGUUCUGCCGCUGGACUGGGGUCAGGGUCUCCUGCCAGCCUCCGGCAGCACUGGAAGGAGGAGUCUGCGGCCCGCACGGCAGCAGUGAAAACUCCUGUGCUGCGGGCACCACGGGCAGAGCUCCGUCCGCGUGCGGUGUGGGCCGGGGCAAGGGGGGGGGGGGCCCUCUCAGUGAAUUGCUUCAAGCGGUUCACCCUUCAAGGUACAUCAUUUAUUUAUUAAAAAAAAUUUUUUUUAAUGUUUUUAUUUAUUUUUGAGACAGAGACAGAGCAUGAGCAGGGGAGGGGGCAGAGAGAGAGGGAGACACAGAACUGGAAGCAGGCUCCAGGCUCC